AUCUCGCUUGCGUGACGACGCAUGCGAGAAACCGCACGUGUAGACCGCAAAAAGUACGAAGCAUGCUUUUUCUCGCAUACCGAGCGGUAUGCGAGCUCUCGCUUGCUUUCAACUGUCAUUUUUGUGGCUGUAAUUUAGUU
Rhagoletis zephyria (snowberry fruit fly) is the source of this 140-nucleotide long non-coding RNA. RefSeq lists it as uncharacterized. NCBI's taxonomy places the organism in Eukaryota, Metazoa, Arthropoda, Insecta, Diptera, Tephritidae. The record is from RefSeq and is a predicted model, not a curated record.